UCAACAAAGUGCAGGUAUGCUAAUACAUUCUCUAUACCAAUAAACUUUGUGAUUUCAUUUGAUUUGCUUUUCGUGAUACUUAUGUGGGUUUUGUUGUACUCUACUUUGUGUAAUACCACUGUGUGUAAGAUCUAAAUUCCACCACUCCAGAAAGAAGGUUAUGGUUUAAUUUAUAGUAUGAGCAGCACUUGCUUAAUUUUGAUAACAUCAACAUGACACCGCAUAAUAAGAUUGUGAUAUUGUAAUUCUGCAGUUGUUGCUUAUUAGUCAAAUUUUAUGAUUCUACCAUGAUUGAAUAUUUGGUGGUUCCAUUAUGUCAAUGCUAUUUUAGAUUAUUCUUUUCACAUGAAUGUGAUUGGCUCAGGCAACGUCUUCCUUAAACAUGGCUCCGAUCUGCGCUUGAUCCCACGGGAUAGGGUUGGAGCUACUGAGUAAAGAAAGCAACAGUCUGGAUGACUUUUUUAUCAUUCUGGUUAAUCUAGUUUUGUUUUCUGCGUACAAACUGGAAUAAUGGUGAAAGCGUCCUUUUGGGCAUUAUACUGUUUAACUGAUACCAUAAAGUUUGUGAAAUACUGAGAUUGAUACGAAAGUUGGCUACAUGUCGUAGCUGUUUAGUUAAUAAUUGAGGCUCUAGUUGUUUACCUGCUCUCUUUGGACUUAAUAAGAUACUAAUAGCAUUGUUCUAUCGUGGCCAACUUAUUGAAGUCAGGGCGCUACGGUAUUUAAAGCGGAUCAUCCAGACCCAGAAGCGGCCAUGUCUUACUGCAGAUCAAUAACUAAAAUGAAGGCCCCAUUUAGAAAUCUCACAUGAUCGUAUUUAUGGCUUUACCAACAAUGUGGACUUAGCAUCCAGGCAUUCAAUGAAUGCUCCUGUUUAUAAACUGUAAAAUCAUUUCUAGUCUUUAUCUUGUCAUUUUGCAUUUAAUUCUAAACCUGAUCUGUUCUUUGAGAGGUGUUUAAUUGUGCAUAAGGAGUUGGAUUUUAAUACGUGCACCAGUAGACGGCUGGGAGAUGACGAGCUGUGAAAACGAUAGAUAUCCUAGAGAAUUCAAAAAGGUAAAGAUUGCGUUCCAGUCUCUUUCUUGCUCUUUAGGUUCAAAAAUGCCAAACCCACGAUGUAAGGUCGGCAUAACCCAACAAAUGUAACUGGCAAAAGAGAAGCAUUUCUUUCAGAAAUGUGGUUCAGCGUUUCCUCAGCAAGCAGCCAGCGAAGCCAUAAUCUAACAAGUCGGUAAUAGAGUGGCCUAAUGAAGAGGAGGUCCACAAUGAAGACCAUCGUCAUUGCAAUUGUUAUUGUGGGAUCGUAUAAAGUGGGUGGAGGGUGAAUGAGGACGAAUGCACUUGAAUCUGUAAGCAGUGGCAUCAUCACUUUCAGUGACCUGUUAACGUCCUAAUUAGACAACAGUAUGGAUGGAGGGCCCCAUGGUAUUUCAAUUGUAGUGCCCAAAAGAUCAAGCGAUGUUGUGUUCUUGAGGAGGAAUCAGCUGAUAAGAAUUUUGUUUGGAGGAUCUAAUGGCUAAGUAAAGGUGAUCUAAUUAGAGCUUUGAUCAAGUUUUGGUGGCAUUUACGGAGGGUAAUGUGACUGCUAUUUAAUGCUUAAGUAUGUAAAUGAAUUGAGCGGUUUAAAAUUUGGUUCGAUAAAAUUUUUGAUUUAAUUUAAUUUAUUUAAAAAAUAGGUGAGUUUGAGCCUUAUUUUUAGAAUUAUAUAAUAAAUGUGUAAAGUGUGAGCUUAUUGAUAUUUGGCUUAAUAAAAAUUGCGAGUUGG
Molecule: unclassified non-coding RNA, 1765 nt
Filed under: Hevea brasiliensis (rubber tree)
Lineage: Eukaryota; Viridiplantae; Streptophyta; Magnoliopsida; Malpighiales; Euphorbiaceae
Source: RNAcentral